RNAcentral lists this transfer RNA (74 nucleotides) under Pedionomus torquatus (plains-wanderer). It matches the Rfam family "tRNA". Rfam says of the family: Transfer RNA (tRNA) molecules are approximately 80 nucleotides in length. Lineage: Eukaryota; Metazoa; Chordata; Aves; Charadriiformes; Pedionomidae. The record is from Rfam by way of RNAcentral.
AGAAACUUAGGAUAGUCUUUUUAAACCGAAGGCCUUCAAAGCCUUAGACAAGAGUUAAACCCUCUUAGUUUCUG